AAUACAUUAGCAUGGAAUAAUAGAAUAGGACGUGCGGUUCUAUUUUGUUGGUUUCUAGAGUCGCCGUAAUGAUUAAUAGGGACAGUUGGGGGCAUUAGUAUUCAGUCGCUAGAGGUGAAAUUCUUGGAUUGACUGAAGACUAACUUCUGCGAAAGCAUUUGCCAAGGAUGUUUUCAUUAAUCAAGAACGAAGGUUAGGGGAUCGAAAACGAUCAGAUACGUCCUGCCGGUGCGGGUGCGUAAGGCGAAACCUCCU
This 255-nucleotide non-coding RNA is filed under the name Botryobasidium botryosum FD-172 SS1. RNAcentral describes it as "Eukaryotic small subunit ribosomal RNA". It matches the Rfam family "Eukaryotic small subunit ribosomal RNA", at positions 798 to 1030 of the family's 1831-position model. The record is from Rfam by way of RNAcentral. Lineage: Eukaryota; Fungi; Basidiomycota; Agaricomycetes; Cantharellales; Botryobasidiaceae.